AACGAACGCUGGCGGCGCGUCUUACACAUGCAAGUCGAACGGCAGGAAGGGGCUUGCCCCUUCUGAGAGUGGCGGACUGGUGAGUAACACGUGGGUGACAUACCUUUUAGUUGGGGAUAGCUAUUAGAAAUAGUAGGUAAUACCGAAUGUUACCGUACCUGUUAGAGGGGUACGAGGAAAGGAGCUAAGGCUUCGCUAAAAGAAUGGCUCGCGGCCCAUUAUGCUCGUUGGUGAGGUAACGGCCCACCAAGGCGAUGAUGGGUAUCCGGCCUGAGAGGGUGAACGGACACAUUGGGACUGAGAUACGGCCCAGACUUCUACGGGAGGCAGCAGUUAAGAAUAUUCCGCAAUGGACGAAAGUCUGACGGAGCGACGCCGCGUGGAUGAAGAAUGCCGAAAGGUUGUAAAAUCCUUUUAAGCCUGAUGAAUAAGCACAGUAGGGAAUGAUUGUGCGGUGACCGUAGGGCUUGAAUAAGCACCGGCUAAUUACGUG
Molecule: ribosomal RNA, 493 nt
Filed under: uncultured bacterium
Lineage: Bacteria
Description: partial 16S ribosomal RNA
Rfam family: Bacterial small subunit ribosomal RNA
Source: RNAcentral